This 529-nucleotide long non-coding RNA is filed under the name Homo sapiens (human). RNAcentral describes it as "HSALNT0223051". The record is from RNAcentral. Lineage: Eukaryota; Metazoa; Chordata; Mammalia; Primates; Hominidae.
UUUCGCUCUCUCUCCUCUUUUAUUCCCGCUUAUUAUCUGGCUGCUGCCAGAGGCUCUGGGCUGAGGCCGGCACUGGCACCCACUCCACCCUAUCCCUCCUCCUCUUUGCCUCUGUCCCUUUUACUCUCCCUCACAGUACCUUCGUCAUCUCCUCCCAAGAGGGACAAAGCUUGUCCCUCAUCCUCCAGGCCCCCUCUGAGGGAAAUGGGUCCCAGCAGAGGUCUGUGCUGGGAGGGGGUGGCCUUGGGCACCCAAGAUGGGGGCAGGUCCUCAGGACCCCGCAUCUCACCUUGGCUCCAAUGCAGCCUCACAGAAGCCUCCGGUGUAUCCCUCCCUCCUCCGUGCCUCAGUUUGCCUCUAUCUGUGCCAUGAAGAGGUCGGUACAAAAGGAUCAAUUUUUAAAUGGCCACAGGGUGCUCCAUUGUACUGCAGGACCACCAGCCCCACACGGAGGGACAUCUGGGCUAUCUUCAGUUUGGAGCUGUAUCUGUUUUCUGGCAGAAUAAAUAAUGGUUACCUGACAACCCAA